GUAGGUGGCAAGCGUUGUCCGGAUUUAUUGGGUUUAAAGGGUGCGUAGGUGGCCCUGUAAGUCAGUGGUGAAAUAUCUCAGCUUAACUGAGAGGGUGCCAUUGAUACUGCAGGGCUUGAGUACAGAUGAGGUAGGCGGAAUUGACGGUGUAGCGGUGAAAUGCAUAGAUAUCGUCAAGAACACCGAUAGCGAAGGCAGCUUACCAAGCUGUAACUGACACUGAGGCACGAAAGUGUGGGGAUCAAACAGGAUUAGAUACCCUGGUAGUCCACACUGUAAACGUUGAUGACUCGACGUUGGCGAUACACUGCCAGCGUCCAAGAGCAAUCGUUAAGUCAUCCACCUGGGGAGUACGCCGGCAA
Molecule: ribosomal RNA, 362 nt
Filed under: uncultured bacterium
Lineage: Bacteria
Description: bacterial SSU rRNA
Rfam family: Bacterial small subunit ribosomal RNA
Source: RNAcentral